AUAGCUCAGCUGGGAGAGCGCUUGAAUGGCAUUCAAGAGGUCGGCGGUUCGAUCCCGCCU
This 60-nucleotide transfer RNA is filed under the name Desulfuromonas sp. RNAcentral describes it as "tRNA-Ala". It matches the Rfam family "tRNA", at positions 7 to 64 of the family's 71-position model. From Rfam's summary of the family: Transfer RNA (tRNA) molecules are approximately 80 nucleotides in length. Lineage: Bacteria; Pseudomonadati; Thermodesulfobacteriota; Desulfuromonadia; Desulfuromonadales; Desulfuromonadaceae. The record is from RNAcentral.